This 934-nucleotide long non-coding RNA is filed under the name Zonotrichia albicollis (white-throated sparrow). RNAcentral describes it as "lncRNA (ENSZALG00000000459.1)". Lineage: Eukaryota; Metazoa; Chordata; Aves; Passeriformes; Passerellidae. The record is from RNAcentral.
GGCACAGGGCUGGAGGGACACAGGGGUGGCCAAACGGACAAAACCAGUGGCCAAAGGGACAAAAUCAGUGGCCAAAGGGACAAAAUCAGUGGCCAAAGGGAUGAUGGUAGGUGGUCAGAGGGGAAUUGUGAUUGGGAACUGGAAUGUUCCCAGUGCUCCCAGUUCAGAACUUGUGGAAGACAUUGAAGGUUGGACACAGGUGAAGGUGUGGUGGUAGAACCAGGUGGCACAGGGACAGGUGUGGGGGUGGAACAGGUGGCAGAGGGACAGAACAGUGCCCAAAGUGCUGCUGGCAGGAGCCUGGGAGGACACAGGGGCGCUCCCAGCGCUCCCAGUUUAGGGCAUGUGGGAGUCUCUGAGGGGCAGAGUGGGGAUGAACACAAGCACAGGUGUGCUGGACACAGGUACAGGUGUGGUAGACGCAGCUACAGGCAUGGUGGACAUGGGUACAGCUGUGGUGGUGGAACAGGUGACACAGGGACAGGUGCAGUGACAGAACCAGGUGGCAGAGGGACAGAGCAGUGCCCAAAGUGCUGUGGCAGGAGCCGGGGGCGCUCCCAGCUUGGGGCACUGGUAUUUGCUGAGGGGGCAGAGUGGGGAUGGACACAGAUACAGUCAUGGUGGACAUGGGUACAGGUGUGGUGCUGGAACAGGUGACACAGGGACAGGUGUGGUAACAGAACCAGGUGACACAGGUGCAGGUGUGGUGGUGGAACCACCUGACACAGGGACAGAUGUGGUGAUGGAAUAGGUGACACAGGUACAGAUGCAGUGACAGAACCAGGUGGCACAGGUACAGAUGCAGUGACAGAACCAGGUGGCACAGGGACAGGUGCGGUGACAGAACCAGGUGGCACAGGGACAGGUGUGGUGACAGAACCAGGCUGCAGAGAGACAGAGCAGUGCCCAAAGUGCUGUGGCAGGAGCCGGGACG